AUAAACAAUUUAGGAGGUCAUUUGCCUAUUACGUGUUAGCUGUAAACUUUGUUGUUGGAGAAGCUUUUGGUGAUUGUGAUUGGUGCUUAGGAGGAAAAUGAGAUUAUUAUUGGGAUGGGCCUGUGUAUUGAUGUAAUGGGAUGUAAGCUAUUUUAUUAAUCCGAAACGUUUAAAAGUGAUGUUCUGAGUUUUUAGAAAAGCUCCCAACUGUUCGCGUUGUUUAAGUUUUGUUUAUGUUUGAAGAGGUUGCACCACAAUUGUUAAUUUGACUGAGUAAGCAGUGAAAGUUGAGAUUUUAGUAGAAAUGAUAACUUGCUUUCUUGAUCGCGUGAAUGUUCUUUAGCUUAUUGCAAGUGGUGCACAUGCUACAAAAGGUUUUUCGUUAAAGAAACUCGUACUACAGUAAAGUUCUGUGAGGGUUUGAUCGUUUGCUAAAACCAAUUUAGAGUAAGCAUAAACUGUAAAAGAC
This 469-nucleotide long non-coding RNA is filed under the name Brassica napus (rape). RNAcentral describes it as "long non-coding RNA (BNAP_LNC010981)". The record is from RNAcentral. Lineage: Eukaryota; Viridiplantae; Streptophyta; Magnoliopsida; Brassicales; Brassicaceae.